AGGAAAAGGAAAGAAGAGAAAAGAGAGACAAAAAACAAAAGAAUGUGACAGGUGCCAGGUCCCUCGUAGGUAACUGUGGUGGUGACCAAACCCUGUGUUGCAGUGUGGCUUAUAAUUUAUUCCCAACCCAGUGAGAGAAUCCAGAGUCUCCUCCACUCAUCCACCACCAACAUGUCUGCAGCCAGAGACUCAAACUACUGGGUUGUGUUGCCGACAGGCCCUCCUGCUGAUUGGCUGAGAUUUUUUUUAAGACAAGCUUCAACAGGAAGUGUGUUUUGAUUGGUGGAAACACUGCAGUUACACACCUGAUGCAAUGGACACGCCUGGGAGCCAGUGCAAUGUAGAACCAAACAGACCAAUGCCUUCUUUUUGUAUAUGAUUACUGUGUCAGUUAUUGCAAUGUGGUCAAUUCUUUGGUAUUUAAAGGUUGUUACACAUUUUUAAACUUAUAUUUAUUAAGACAGUCAAAAAAUGGACCAGCAUUUUGUGAUAGUUUGUUCAAACACUUUAAGAAGCCUUGACUCAUUACAACAGUGUGCAGUAUGUUGCAGCUGUUUUGUACAAGGAGUGAUGAAAUGUCGCCAUCUAGUGUUCGAACCACUUUACACUCCAUGAGAGUAUUUUUCUAAAACACAUUAGACAAGUACAGUGUUUGCUGUCACCCCAGGACCUUUUUACCUUUAGGAACUACCAGUCAUGGGGAAUCAGUUCUCUUUACAUUGCAUAAUGUUGUGAGACAUAGCCUGAUGACAACUCAGACAAAAUUACAAACAAUAUUUACAACAAUACUUUUUUUUUUUUCAACUUAAGGCAUGACCAAAGAAAAUGUUGUACAGAUAAAUAACUGUGAUGAAUGCUUGUCAAGAAUCUCAAUUGUUCUUUGGAAUCCAUCCCUUUCUCUCUCUAUUGUUUCAGAGGGUUUGAUACACUGUCAAUUAUACCUGGUAUCUAUUGAUAUAGGGUCUAACCAAUGCUGAAUCCAUUCUGGAUUUAAAAAUGCAGUUUCUGUGCCAGUGGCUUCAACUUCAGGACAACCAGGACUGAAAGAAGGAGCUUUUCAAUUACACAAAACAUAUCUGUUUAAAGCACAUCAGGAAGUGUGUAUGCCCAGCAGGGAAUUAAUGAUCAAUACAACAGUAGCCUAAUCAAUAUACUUAUGCAGUGCUCUUUUGGUAUUAAUCCCAACUAAAGAGUAUCAGUUAAAUCAUUAUUUUGUUGUUCUAAUGCCAGUGCAAAGUUCUCACAAAUAUAUGAAUUAUUUUUGGCUUUCUAUGUUUAAACAGCUAUAAUUUGUGUCCAGUCACUCCAGAGUCCCUGGCCCACACCACAGGUGUCUUCCUCUGUCUGUUUUUGGAAACACUGCAGUAGGCUAAGGAAGGGAUCAAUUGAAGUAGUUAAGUAAAAUGAUGGGUUUGAUGUUUGUUUGUUUUUUGUGUACUACACAAAGAAAAUCUAUGAAAAUGUAAAAAGUAACUUUUCUAUUGUGUUAGUAUUUUUAUUUCAUUUCAGUAUUUAUUUUGUUAUUAAAUUGUCAUGGUUGACAGCU
Long non-coding RNA from Notolabrus celidotus (New Zealand spotty), 1546 nucleotides. RefSeq lists it as uncharacterized. The transcript is spliced from 2 exons. The record is from RefSeq and is a predicted model, not a curated record. NCBI's taxonomy places the organism in Eukaryota, Metazoa, Chordata, Actinopteri, Labriformes, Labridae.